UUCCUCGUGCGGGGCUCCCGCCCGUUGUCUUCUGCGCGGGCAGCGGCGCAGCGGCACAGGAGUCGCGCAACGCGAGCUCCCAGAAGCAGGUCAAGAGAGAGCGGCGGCGGAUCCGGGUUGCAGCAGCAGUACAGAUCGCGUUAUGCAAGAAUGCCUCCGCGCUGGUGCCGGUGGGCCUCCUCAGCUG
Molecule: non-coding RNA, 187 nt
Filed under: Lingulaulax polyedra
Lineage: Eukaryota; Dinophyceae; Gonyaulacales; Lingulodiniaceae
Source: RNAcentral